RNAcentral lists this ribosomal RNA (240 nucleotides) under uncultured bacterium. RNAcentral describes it as "partial 16S ribosomal RNA". It matches the Rfam family "Bacterial small subunit ribosomal RNA", at positions 94 to 334 of the family's 1533-position model. The record is from RNAcentral.
AGCGGCGGACGGGUGAGUAACGCGUGGGUAACCUGCCUCAUACAGGGGGAUAACAGUUAGAAAUGACUGCUAAUACCGCAUAAGCGCACAGUACCACAUGGUACGGUGUGAAAAACUCCGGUGGUAUGAGAUGGACCCGCGUCUGAUUAGGUAGUUGGUGGGGUAACGGCCUACCAAGCCGACGAUCAGUAGCCGACCUGAGAGGGUGACCGGCCACAUUGGGACUGAGACACGGCCCAA